RNAcentral lists this unclassified non-coding RNA (251 nucleotides) under Diaporthe helicis. Its description in RNAcentral is "partial contains 5.8S ribosomal RNA, internal transcribed spacer 2, and large subunit ribosomal RNA". The record is from RNAcentral. Lineage: Eukaryota; Fungi; Ascomycota; Sordariomycetes; Diaporthales; Diaporthaceae.
CGCACAUUGCGCCCUCUGGUAUUCCGGAGGGCAUGCCUGUUCGAGCGUCAUUUCAACCCUCAAGCCCCCGGCUUGGUGUUGGGGCGCUGCUCCGAGAGGAGCAGGCCCUGAAAUCCAGCGGCGAGCCCGCCGGGACCCCGAGCGCAGUAGUUAAACCCUCGCUCUGGAAGGCCCUGGCGGCGCCCUGCCGUUAAACCCCCAACUCCUGAAAAUUUGACCUCGGAUCAGGUAGGAAUACCCGCUGAACUUAA